Lathyrus oleraceus (garden pea) is the source of this 808-nucleotide long non-coding RNA. RefSeq lists it as uncharacterized. The record is from RefSeq and is a predicted model, not a curated record. Lineage: Eukaryota; Viridiplantae; Streptophyta; Magnoliopsida; Fabales; Fabaceae. The transcript has 2 exons.
AAUUGGGCCUAAUGAAGGCUUAAGGCCCACUAUCCAAGAAAAUUGAAAUAACCAAUGGUCCAUCCUCCUCCCCACCUUCACGCUUAACAAAAUGCAGAGGGAGAGAAAGAACAGCCUGGUUCCGAAGAACCGAGUCGCUCCGGUUUCCUCACCGGCGGCGGCGCCUCCACACGGUGAGGCCUCCCACGCUAUCUCCUAACCUAACCGACAUAAACACUCCACCUAACCAAAUCAUAAUCAAACGCAAUGUGAAUCUUCAACGGAAAAAAUCUAGUGACGAAUGAAAAACGUAAACGGACAGUGAUCGCGAUUCACAUCACAACAGAUGAACUAACAACGUAGAAACUAGAAAUUCCUACCUGCGAUGGCGACAUAUCGGCGGAUCGAAGCUUAGAAUGUUCAUGGAAUUGGUGUGGAGUUAUUGUGAGUUAAAUAGUGGUGGUGCAUGGAGCAGAAUGGUUGCAGGAACUGGAGAAAGGUGACGAAGAUGGAAGCUCGAGAGCAAAUUAUGCAGGUGGAGGUGCGAUUCGGUUACGAUCCAGGAAAAGAGGAGAAGAAGUUUUGCCGAAAAGAGAUGGAAGAAGAGUUUGUUAGCUUGUGAUUCUGGAAGAAAGAAAAAUGGAAGAAGAACUUCAAUGUGAGCUUAUGGAUUUAAAUCAAAUUGAUUGGAUGAGUUUGAAGUUUUGAUUUGGUUUGCCGUUUCUGUUUUGAUGCUGAAUUUCUGUUUCCGUUUCAACUUGUUUUGUAUUAUGCACUACUGCGUUUUGGCCUUGCCGUUUCAGCCUUAAAAUCUUGCAUUUCCGUUUCC